RNAcentral lists this ribosomal RNA (1280 nucleotides) under uncultured marine eukaryote. Its description in RNAcentral is "SSU rRNA". It matches the Rfam family "Eukaryotic small subunit ribosomal RNA", at positions 576 to 1807 of the family's 1831-position model. The record is from RNAcentral.
UCGGUAAUUCCAGCUCCAAUAGUGUAUAUUAAUGUUCCUGCAGUUAUUCGAUGCUCGUAGUUGGAUUUCUGGAGGCUGCGAGGGGCCGGAGACUAUGGUUUCCGCCGUUCGCUUCCUUCAUCCACCUGUUAAGGUUGUCCGGUAUUCGUUUAUCGGCUUCUGGCUCAGGUACUUUACCCUUUCUACAUAUAUUCAUUUAUUUAUCUACUUUUUGAGCAAAUUAUAGUGUUUCAGGCAGGCGUGCGCCGGAAUACUUUAGCAUGGAAUAAUCGAACAGGACCGUGUAUCCAUCUGGAUUUCUCCUUAUUUGUUGGUUUCGAAGGACACGGAAAUGGUUAAUAGGGAUAGUAAUUUUUAAGGGGAGGCAUUAGUAUUUAAUUUCCAGAGGUGAAAUUCUUUGAAAUAUUAAAGACUAACUUAUGCGAAAGCAUUUAUUUUGCCAAUAAUGUUUUCAUUAAUCAUUGAACGAAAGUUAGGGGAUCAAAGACGAUCAGAUACCGUCCUAGUCUUAACCAUAAACGUUGCCGACUAGGGAUCGGAGGGCGUGCACAUUCCGCCUUCGGCACCUUACGAGAAAUCAAAGUCUUAUGGGUUCUGGGGGUAGUAUGGUCGCAAGGCUGAAACUUAAAGGAAUUGACGGAAGGGCACCACCAGGAGUGGAGCUUGCGGCUCAAUUUGACUCAACACGGGAGAUCUUACCAGGUCCAGACAUAGCGAGGAUUGACAGAUUGAUAGCUCUUUCUUGAUUCUAUGGGUAUUUUUGGUGGUGCAUGGCCGUUCUUAGUUGGUGGAGUGAUUUGUCUGGUUAAUUCCGUUAAACGAACGAGACCUCAGCCUGCUAAAUAGUUACCUGUCUUUCAUUUACCGAGACUUGCUAACUUCUUAGAGGGACGUUGUGUGCAACCACAAGGAAGUUGAGGCAAUAACAGGUCUGUGAUGCCCUUAGAUGUCCUGGGCCGCACGCGUGCUACACUGAUACGUACAACGAGGUAUGUGCAUUUAUGCAUCUAGGCUGCUCCGAAAUAGACAAAGCUAAAUCUUCGAAAAAUACGUAUCGUGCUGCGGAUAGAUCGUUGAAAUUAUGAAUCUUGAAGGUGGAAUUCCUAGUAAGCGCGGGUCAUCAACCCGCGUUGAUUACGUCCCUGCCCUUUGUACACACCGCCCGUCGCUCCUACCAAUUUCGAGUGGCUCGGUGAACCUCUUUGGACUGUCGAGCAAUCGCGAAAUUAGAGUGAACCUGGUCACUUAGAGGAAGGAAAAGUCGUAACAAGGUAGCCGUA